CACACGCAGCCGCCCUGACUGGUGAACACAUGGGAAGGGGUUUGUGUCUCCUACCCACUGGCCCUGUGGGAAUCCACCAGCAGAUCAGAUCCCCAGUCUGAGAUGAGACUGUGAGGCAGAUGCUUUGGGUCUUGUCUGCUGUACAUUUUUAACUUCACUCUGAUUUUUUAAAGGAAGAAAGUUGGGCAUAAAGAGAAUCUAUCAGAGUGAGGCCAGUGGUAGGAAGAGACGGACCAUCCAUCCACUCUGCUAGCAUCUGUGACUACUGACCUGCUGACAAAUGCUAGGCCAGGUACAGAGAUCCAAAGCUCACUACACCUGAAUCUCACCUCAGCCAGUUCCAGGUGCAGAAGAGCCAGAGGCAGAUAUGCUUCAGUCAAAGAUGGCCCGAGCAUCCUUUUCUGUGAAACAGGGAGAGAGCUAUUGUGAAAAUGAGAUGAAGUAAUGCCUCCACAUAUUUCAGGCACAUGGAUGAAGAAACCAAAUACCUAUCCAUCACUAGGGAGAUGCAGUGGAGGAGGGAAAAGAAGCAAAUGUUUGUUGGACCUCUGCUUCCUUCUUCACUCUGCACAGCUCUCUUUCCAUACAUUGAGUUAUGUCAUGUUUAGGACGUCCCUUUGUGGAUAUCCUAUCCCUUGAGGAUAUUCAUUUUCGUCUCCUUUGGACACAAGAAGGACAGGACCCAGUGUAAGAGAAGUGAAAUAACUUUUCAAAGUCCCAUAACUGACCACAGGAGAAUUACUCUUCCAUCCAGCGAGCAACACAGGCUUCAUAUGGACCCAAAUGAGAAAAGACAGAGUCCCCUUCUUUUCAAAAGGUCAAAAAACUAAUUCUACCAAUUUUUGAUAAUUACUUUAGUUAAUGGGUCCCUUUCGAGAAGUAAUUCAUCCAGUUUAUUCAUCAAGACAAAAUAAGGUAUAGUCUAUUCCACUUUCUGCCCAAUCUCAUAUAGACAGAGUGGCUGGUGUCACUUGGCAAGGGUAGGACUCAUGUCACCCAGGCAGCAAGACCAGAGCUUUCCAGUCCUACCUACAAAUAUGCAC
RNAcentral lists this long non-coding RNA (1043 nucleotides) under Castor canadensis (American beaver). RNAcentral describes it as "lncRNA (ENSCCNG00000023121.1)". The record is from RNAcentral. Lineage: Eukaryota; Metazoa; Chordata; Mammalia; Rodentia; Castoridae.